GGUGGAGCAUGUGGUUUAAUUCGAAGCAACGCGAAGAACCUUACCUGCGCUUGACAUCCCUAUCGCGGAUUAGAGAGAUCUUUUCCUUCAGUUCGGCUGGAUAGGUGACAGGUGCUGCAUGGCUGUCGUCAGCUCGUGUCGUGAGAUGUUGGGUUAAGUCCCGUAACGAGCGCAACCCUUGUCCCUAGUUGCCAGCACUUCGGGUGGGAACUCUAGGGAGACUGCCGGUGACAAACCGGAGGAAGGUGGGGAUGACGUCAGGUCAUCAUGGCCCUUACGGCCAGGGCUACACACGUGCUACAAUGGUGCGCACAGAGGGCUGCAAACCCGCGAGGGGGAGCCAAUCUCACAAAACGCAUCGUAGUCCGGAUCGCAGUCUGCAACUCGACUGCGUGAAGUCGGAAUCGCUAGUAAUCGUGAAUCAGAAUGUCACGGUGAAUACGUUCCCGGGCCUUGUACACACCGCCCGUCACACCAUGGGAGCUGGUUAUGCCCGAAGUCGUUAUACCAACCGUUUGGAGGAAGACGCCUAAGGUAGAGCUAGUGACUGGGGUGAAGUCGUAACAAGGUAGCCGUAGGGGAACCUGCGGCUGGAUCACCUCCUU
This 605-nucleotide ribosomal RNA is filed under the name Pelagomonas calceolata. Its description in RNAcentral is "partial Bacterial small subunit ribosomal RNA". It matches the Rfam family "Bacterial small subunit ribosomal RNA", at positions 931 to 1532 of the family's 1533-position model. The record is from RNAcentral. Lineage: Eukaryota; Pelagophyceae; Pelagomonadales; Pelagomonadaceae.